CCUACGGGUGGCAGCAGUCGAGAAUCAUUCACAAUGGGGGAAACCCUGAUGGUGCGACGCCGCGUGGGGGAAUGAAGGUCUUCGGAUUGUAAACCCCUGUCAUGUGGGAGCAAAUUAAAAAGAUAGUACCACAAGAGGAAGAGACGGCUAACUCUGUGCCAGCAGCCGCGGUAAUACAGAGGUCUCAAGCGUUGUUCGGAGUCACUGGGCGUAAAGCGUGCGUAGGCUGUUUCGUAAGUCGUGUGUGAAAGGCGGCGGCUCAACCCGAGAAGUGCACAUGAUACUGCGAGACUAGAGGACUGGAGAGGGAGCCGGAAUUCGCGGUGUAGCGGUGAAAUGCGUAGAUAUCGAGAGGAACACUCGUGGCGAAGGCAGGUUCCUGGACAGUAACUGACGCUGAGGCACGAAGGCCAGGGGAGCGAAAGGGAUUAGAUACCCUUGUAGUC
This 446-nucleotide ribosomal RNA is filed under the name uncultured bacterium. Its description in RNAcentral is "partial 16S ribosomal RNA". It matches the Rfam family "Bacterial small subunit ribosomal RNA", at positions 338 to 795 of the family's 1533-position model. The record is from RNAcentral.